AGGAGGGCAGCUGUCUGCAAGCCAAGGAGAGUGGCCUCCCAGGAGCCAAACUUGUCACCGACGCAGUCUCAGAUUUCCAGUCCCUAGAACUAUGAACUGGGUAGGAGAAGUCAGCUGGUUCCCAUUGCUGCUGCUGGUGCCGGGAAGUGCGGAGCCAAUGACCAGUUGGAGUGACCACAGUGCCUGGAGCCAGUCCACAUUUGGGGAAUAUGAUACCAGACCAGUGUAGGAGUGGGGGAGUGCCAGGUCUCUAUGGAAACAGCCUCACAGACACAUCCAGAAGUGCGCUUUCUAGAUAACUGGAAGUACAGUCAAGUUGACAAUCAAGAUUAGCUCUCACUCCACCCAGCCCAGCUGGGUUCAGGCUCCAGACAUUCCUGCGUGGAACCCAGACCCCGGGGAGAAGUGCAGCCAUGAAACAACGGCUAGAAUCCACUGGUGAGGGCUGCCAGCUGCUCCAGAUGUCCACGAUCAUGUUCCAGAUGUAUGGCCUGUGCUGCAGCUCCCUUAGUUCCAGAAUGGUUUCCAAGCUUGGUUCUGUGUCUUCUUGGCCCCCACUACCCUGAUUAAAGCAAAGUUGGGCUGAUCACUGGGCUCUGGGCCCUGUUGAUAUAUGUGAGCACUUCCAAGAACAAAGCCCUCGUGAUAAGGAGAGCACUGCUGAGGGAGCACUCCCCUCUGUUCUUACAAGGAGGGCACUGCCUAGGCCUGAACACAUGGCCUUGCAAAAGGAGCGUCCUUCUGAGGGGAGCAGUCUGGCACCAUAAGCUCAGAGUGACUAUCCUUCAUCUUCAGGCUGAUGGUAGGAGAUGCUGCCUCAGGGCAGGCCUCCCAGGAUCCACGAGAUCACGAGAUCAGGAGAUCACGGGCCAGGCAGUAGUCUUUAGUGGUAGCCCUCAGUUCUUCAAGGUGGGUGUAAUUAACAUAAUGGGCUUCAAGUUCCAAACAGGGAGAAAGGGCAAGUGCCCUGAUCCUCAGAGCUGUGGGGAAUGGAAGUAAACCCUGGAAGAGGCUUCUCUGGGGCCCAGGGGUCAGAGAGCCACUAAAACACCGCCUCAUAUUGGAAACUGGAAGAGCGGGAAAUGGUUUCCGUAUGCAAAUGCCCGUCCCAGGAUGAGUCUAUAAGCACAUGUGGCAUGCUCAGUCAGGAAUAAAGACUCGUGCACCCAUCUGUGUGGCUUCAUUUGCAUGGAAGUCAAGUGUUCGGGAGAAUCCAUACAAAGUGAAUUAGUCAGUUUUCCAUACUUGUAAUGAAGUCUGUGGAGCUGUGUGCUUCUUAACGAUAUGAAAAUUUUCUAGCUCACAGAUAUGGAAACCGAAAACCCGUGACUAGAUGACCCCAUCUGUACCACCCCUGCUGAGAGCCCUCUUGGCUGGCAGAUGGCAUGGAGGGGGCGGUUAGUGGAAGAGGAAGAGGUCACAUGGUAGAAAAGGGAGCCAGAGAGAGGUGGGAAGGGCCAAUCAGGCUCCUGCAGGCUUUGCUUUUCAAAGGUCCCACCACCCCCUCUGCUGGGUGUCAAGCCAGACCCAGGCUACUGGGUAGUGAUGACAGGGUGGGUACCCAGGAGCCAUUAGCACAGGGUUUCAUUCUGUGGUGAUGGAGGGGUUCUUGAAGUAGAUAGAGACAGUAAAUGUGUAGUCCUGUGGGUAUACUGGUAGCCCCUGGCUGGACAUUUUAAUGGGAAAAAUUUGGAUAUUUUACAGGCUUUUUGUUGUUGAUUUUUUUGUUUUGUAUUGUUUUUUUGAUUUUUAUGUCAGCUGCUAAAUUAGGUUGACUAUGUAUAAGACAUGUCAGCCUAUCAUUCAGUAGCAAGCUUUUUUUUUUUUUAAAUAAAAAAUCCUCUUGGUAC
This is a long non-coding RNA of Apodemus sylvaticus (European woodmouse), 1850 nucleotides long. RefSeq lists it as uncharacterized. The record is from RefSeq and is a predicted model, not a curated record. NCBI's taxonomy places the organism in Eukaryota, Metazoa, Chordata, Mammalia, Rodentia, Muridae. The transcript has 3 exons.